UUGUGCAGUGCUGCUCUUUGUUUCAUCGAUUUAUCCAGGUUUUACACUCCGCGCUUUGUUGACGUGCGUGGUCUAAUCGUGUUGUGUACGUGAGUGGCGUGUAACUAGUGAUACAGCACGCAAGGACAGUCAUUAACGUGCGCGAUCCGCCGAAAAUCAGCCACGAGGCAUUACAACGGGCACGUUCAGUGGGCUGCGCGGCCGUUGCGACGAGCUGCAUUGCUGAUUCUUCGCUUGAGACUGGCAAUUGUCGAGCGGGUUGCAUCCGUUGUUACGUUGCCCGAAGACAGUAGUAAAUGUGAUUUGCAGGGUGCAAGCAACGUGUCAUUGUGGUUAGAAAAAAUGAAUCAGUAUACAUGUGAUUUAACUGUCAAAGCCGGAAUGUUUAAAGCAUACAUCCC
Long non-coding RNA from Rhipicephalus sanguineus (brown dog tick), 401 nucleotides. RefSeq lists it as uncharacterized. The transcript has 3 exons. The record is from RefSeq and is a predicted model, not a curated record. NCBI's taxonomy places the organism in Eukaryota, Metazoa, Arthropoda, Arachnida, Ixodida, Ixodidae.